UAUACAACAUAGUAUCUGGACCCAGCAGUUUAUUCCUGCUGGGGUGUUCAAAGGUCAGUGCCACAGAAAUUCACUACCUAGAAUUGUUGGUUUUCUUAAUGUUGUGCAUGUUAAACCCGGUAUUUCUUUUUUUUUUUUU
Otolemur garnettii (small-eared galago) is the source of this 139-nucleotide small nucleolar RNA. Lineage: Eukaryota; Metazoa; Chordata; Mammalia; Primates; Galagidae. The record is from Ensembl.